CCUCUCCGCGGGCGGUGGGGCGCCGCGCUGCUCUCGCCGGUGAUCUUUACCGUGGUCGUCACCGCCCUGGCGUUCGUCACGCCGAGAAAGAUC
This 93-nucleotide transfer RNA is filed under the name Streptomyces spiralis. Its description in RNAcentral is "tRNA-Glu". The record is from RNAcentral. Lineage: Bacteria; Bacillati; Actinomycetota; Actinomycetes; Kitasatosporales; Streptomycetaceae.